Long non-coding RNA from Eriocheir sinensis (Chinese mitten crab), 538 nucleotides. RefSeq lists it as uncharacterized. The record is from RefSeq and is a predicted model, not a curated record. The transcript is spliced from 3 exons. NCBI's taxonomy places the organism in Eukaryota, Metazoa, Arthropoda, Malacostraca, Decapoda, Varunidae.
GGCUUGGACGCGCCCGGGAGAGGACGGAGGGGUGUUACGCUGCCUGGCUCUCCCUUAUAACUCGUGGAUUAAUGGCUGUGGGAGGCUGUGCGUGGCCGGCGGAAGAGAGUGCGAGUGCUGUGUGUGCUGAGUGUGCUGCGCCUGGUGCUGAGAGAGGCGCGUGAGUGCUGGAAUGGCCGUGUGAGCUCGAUCAAAACAGUGCUGUGCCAAGCUUGUGUAUCCUGGAACAAGCCGCCGAGAUUGGAUUGACGGUGGAUUUUAAUGUCGGAUUUUUAAUGGAUGCAACGCUUCUACACGCUUCUAGUUAACGCCAUCUACGCCCACACGCCCCCGCAACAUGUACCCCACGCCGCGACCCCCAGGAGCGGGCCCCCCAGCGCCCCCCACUGGUCCCGGGCAGCUCAAAUUUACUAUUGCCGAAACUUGUGACAGAAUUAAAGAAGAGUUCAACUUCCUACAGUCACAAUACCACGCGUUAAAGUUGGAAUGUGAGAAACUGGCGAGCGACAAGACGGAGAUGCAGAGACAUUAUGUGAUG